AGGGGCAUAGCUUAGUUGGUAGAGUGCUUGCUUAGCAUACACAAAACCUUGGGUUCAAUCCCCAACACCCCUU
This 73-nucleotide transfer RNA is filed under the name Neotoma lepida (desert woodrat). It matches the Rfam family "tRNA". Rfam says of the family: Transfer RNA (tRNA) molecules are approximately 80 nucleotides in length. Their secondary structure includes four short double-helical elements and three loops (D, anti-codon, and T loops). Further hydrogen bonds mediate the characteristic L-shaped molecular structure. tRNAs have two regions of fundamental functional importance: the anti-codon, which is responsible for specific mRNA codon recognition, and the 3' end, to which the tRNAs corresponding amino acid is attached (by aminoacyl-tRNA synthetases). tRNAs cope with the degeneracy of the genetic code in two manners: having more than one tRNA (with a specific anti-codon) for a particular amino acid; and 'wobble' base-pairing, i.e. permitting non-standard base-pairing at the 3rd anti-codon position. Lineage: Eukaryota; Metazoa; Chordata; Mammalia; Rodentia; Cricetidae. The record is from Rfam by way of RNAcentral.